AUUGAACGCUGGCGGCAGGCCUAACACAUGCAAGUCGAGCGGAUGAAGGGAGCUUGCUCCUGGAUUCAGCGGCGGACGGGUGAGUAAUGCCUAUGAAUCUGCCUGGUAGUGGGGGAUAACGUCCGGAAACGGGCGCUAAUACCGCAUACGUCCUGAGGGAGAAAGUGGGGGGUCUUCGGACCUCACGCUCUCAGAUGAGCCUAGGUCGGAUUAGCUAGUUGGUUGGGUAAGGGCCUACCAAGGCGACGAUCCGUAACUGGUCUGAUAGGAUGAUCAGUCACACUGGAACUGAGACACGGUCCAGACUCCUACGGGAGGCAGCAGUGGGGAAUAUUGGACAAUGGGCGAAAGCCUGAUCCAGCCAUGCCGCGUGUGUGAAGAAGGUCUUCGGAGUGUAAAGCACUUUAAGUUGGGAGGAAGGGCAGUAAGUUAAUACCUUGCUGUUUUGACGUUACCAACAGAAUAAGCACCGGCUAACUUCGUG
This 484-nucleotide ribosomal RNA is filed under the name uncultured bacterium. RNAcentral's name for it is "partial 16S ribosomal RNA". It matches the Rfam family "Bacterial small subunit ribosomal RNA", at positions 30 to 507 of the family's 1533-position model. The record is from RNAcentral.